RNAcentral lists this ribosomal RNA (1661 nucleotides) under metagenome. RNAcentral's name for it is "bacterial LSU rRNA". It matches the Rfam family "Bacterial large subunit ribosomal RNA", at positions 1260 to 2910 of the family's 2925-position model. The record is from RNAcentral.
UCUGCGAAGGCGGCUGGACGGAGCGCAAGGGAGGAUGCAGGCAUGAGUAGCGAGAAGACGGUGAGAAUCCGUCUCCCCGGAAGCCUAAGGGUACCUGGGGAAGGGUCGUCCACCCAGGGUAAGCCGGACCUAAGGGGAACCCAAAAGGGGUAACCGAUGGGAAGCCGGUAAAGAUUCCGGCGCCAGGCGUCCGGGAGGUACGAGCGGGGACACAGGAGGAUAGGCUCUGCGAAGAAAUGGGAAAUUCGUCCAAGCCUCGAGCUGUAGAAGCGCGUAGGGAAGGCCGCGCGCGGAGGUAAGGGGUGAAGGGGAGUCCAUCGAAGGGUGGGCAACGGAGCUGAGUUCACACUGUCAAGAAAAGCCGCGCGUACCGGCGAACGGAAGCCUGACCGUUCUAAAAACCGACACAGGUAGGCUAGUUGAGAAGACUAAGGGGAGCGGGAGAACCUCCGCUAAGGAACUAGGCAAAAUGGCCCCGUAACUUCGGGAGAAGGGGCGCUCCUGCGGGUUAAGAGCUAGCGGGAGCUGCAAAGACCGGGCUCUGGCGACUGUUUACCAAAAACACAGGACUCUGCGAACACGAUGAGUGGACGUAUAGGGUCUGACGCCUGCCCAGUGCUGGAAGGUUAAGGGGAGUGGUCAGCGCGAGCGAAGCUACGAACCGAAGCCCCAGUAAACGGCGGCCGUAACUAUAACGGUCCUAAGGUAGCGAAAUUCCUUGUCGGGCAAGUUCCGACCUGCAUGAAUGGCGUAACGAUCGGAGCACUGUCUCAGCGGAGGGCCCGGUGAAAUUCCAAUCUUGGUGAAGAUGCCAAGUUACCCGCGAUUAGACGGAAAGACCCCAUGAAGCUUUACUGUAUCCUAAUAUGGUAUAGUGGUGGAAGGCGUACAGGAUAGGUGGGAGGCAGCGAACGCAGCGCGUCAGCGCUGCGGGAGCCGACGGUGGGAUACCACCCUCCUUCCAGCGUUAUACUAACCGAGGUAGGUGGAGAGCCUAUCAGGGACAGUGUUAGGGGGGCAGUUUGACUGGGGCGGUCGCCUCCAAAAAGGUAACGGAGGCGCGCGAAGGUGGGCUCAGGCUGGUUGGGAAUCAGCUGGCGAGUGCAAGGGCAAAAGCCCGCCUGACAGUGAGAGAGACAUCUCGAGCUGAGACGAAAGUCGGUCCUAAUGACCAGGUGGUGCUGUGUGGAAAGGCCAUCGCUCAACGGACAAAAGCUACUCUGGGGAUAACAGGCUGAUACCGUCCGAGAGUCCAUAUCGACGACGGUGUUUGGCACCUCGAUGUCGGCUCACCGCAUCCUGGGGCUGUAGUCGGUCCCAAGGGUUGGGCUGUCCGCCCAUUAAAGCGGUACGUGAGCUGGGUUCAGAACGUCGUAAGACAGUUCGGUCCCUAUCUGUCGCGGGCGCAGGAUACUUGAGAAGGCUUCUCCCCAGUACGAGAGGACCGGGAGGAGUGGACCGCUGGUGAACCAGUUGUGCUACCAAGCGCAUAAGCUGGGUAUCUAAGUCCAUGAGUGAUAAGCGCUGAAAGCAUCUAAGCGCGAAACAUGCUUCAAGAUGAGGUAUCCCAUCGAAAGAGUAAGGGCCGUUCGAGAACAGGACGUAGAUAGGCCGCAGGUGGAAGCGGCGCGAGCCGUGCAGCCGAGCGGUACUAAUCGCCC